RNAcentral lists this ribosomal RNA (253 nucleotides) under uncultured bacterium. RNAcentral's name for it is "partial 16S ribosomal RNA". It matches the Rfam family "Bacterial small subunit ribosomal RNA", at positions 524 to 776 of the family's 1533-position model. The record is from RNAcentral.
UACAGAGGUCCCAAGCGUUGUUCGGAUUUACUGGGCGUAAAGGGUGCGUAGGUGGCCAGGUAAGUUCGAUGUGAAAUCUCCGAGCUCAACUCGGAAACUGCAUUGAAUACUCUCUGGCUAGAGGUUUGGAAGGGGGACUGGAAUUCUCGGUGUAGCAGUGAAAUGCGUAGAUAUCGAGAGGAACACCAGUGGCGAAGGCGAGUCCCUGGACAACACCUGACACUGAGGCACGAAAGCUAGGGGAGCAAACAGG